Sapajus apella (tufted capuchin) is the source of this 2146-nucleotide long non-coding RNA. RefSeq lists it as uncharacterized. NCBI's taxonomy places the organism in Eukaryota, Metazoa, Chordata, Mammalia, Primates, Cebidae. The transcript has 2 exons. The record is from RefSeq and is a predicted model, not a curated record.
AGUGACCACAGGCAUGUACUACUGUGCUUGGCUAAUCUUUGUAUUUUUUGUAGAGACAGGGCUUUGCCAUGUUGUCCAGGUUGGUGUUGAACACCUGGGCUCAAGCGAUCUGCCCACCAUGGCAGGAUGUUUCUUAAACCUCGAUUUUCUGUAAAAUGGGACUAAGACCCAUGAGAUUAUUGGAGAAACAGAGAGAUCUUUCUCCACCAUAUAUCCCUGAAGUCCAAUAUGAUCUUUGUCACAUAGUAGGUACUCAGUAAAUGCUAGUUGAGAUUUAUUCCUCAUUUCUCUAUGUCUUGUCUAUGGGGUAUAAGAAUGUGUUUUCGUGUUUGUGUGUGUGUGUGUGUGUGUGUGUGUAUUCCAAAUGCCAGUUGAGAUUUAUCCUUCAUUUCCUCUAUGUCUUGUCUGUGGGGUAUAGGAAUGUGUUUUCGUGUGUGUGUGUGUGUGUGUGUGUGUGUGUGUGUCCCAAGAAGUUCCUCCCACAGCCUACCUGAGUAGUCAUAGUUGGUACAAAGCAUUUCUAGAAACAUCUUUUUUUUCCUUCACUCUUAAAUUUCUUGGAAAACUCAUUUAUGUUGUGGUUAUCUAGAAGUGGAUUUUGGUCCUGUUUCUUGGGGAGAAAUUCAGCAGAAUAGGUCUGUGGACUAUUGUAGCAUGUUAUCUUAAGAAUUUGGGCAAUUGAGCCCAGUGUUGAGUACAGUGUCCCCAAAACACCAUCUUUGUAUCUGUUUGGGAAGAGUGCCAAAAUAAAGACAGUUCUGUGCUGUGCUGCCAAGAGUGCUUAAGUAGAUCUGCGAUUGGGCCCAGGGGUUUAUAGGUAAUCAAAGUAUAUCACUCUUUCUUGUAAAGCCAAUAGAAAUGUCUAAUUUUAAUUUUAAUAAGGUUUUUGACAAAUCAAAAAUGGUAUCUCCUAGAUGACUUGGUCAACAUGUUAAGGUAGUUAGGCAAUUUUUAAAAAAUCUUAAAUGGGUUUAAAUAAGCAAGUUAAGCAGCUCCUAUUAUGAGACUUAUGGUAAGUUCAUUCUGAGGAUACAAAAAGUUAAUCAGACAAGAUUAUGUGCAAGAAACUGGGGCUAUAAGAGGUAUCAGUAGUUUGAGGAGAUGACAAGUACUUCAUGAGAUGUGAGGAAAAUAAGUGUUGGAGGGUUAGCUGCUGAAAGGACAUUGUUAAUGGCGCUUUACUGUCUUGAUUUGAGGUCUGCUGCCAACUAAUACAUAUCAGUUUCUUUCCUGGAGAUUGAAUAAUACAUUAGUAAAUAUUUAGGUUAGAUGCAUUUUAGGACUCUUAACUGUGAAUAAUGGAAAUAUGUCAGAGUUAGUACAUGCCCUAUUAGAAAAUAUCAUGCCUCUAUUUUAGUACUAAAAUAAAUCCUGUUUCUAAAUACGAGACAUCCUGUUUCUAAAUAGGAGGAAAAACUACAGACACAUUACUUCUUGUUAAUAUUACUACUUUGGUCACUCCAACUCUGUCCUCACCAGUGAAUAGACACAGUCUAAGCAGAUCUUAAGAUUUUAGAGCUGGCAUGAUGGCAUUAGACUGUAGCUACUUAGGUGACAGAGGUAGAAGGAUCUUGAGACCAGGAGUUCAAAUGUAGCUUGGGCAAUAUAGCAAGACUCUGUCUCUAAAAAAAGAGGUUUUAAGCUUACGGAAGAUUACUUAAUAUGCUUGAAAUUAGCAUAUAUAAAGAUAUUGCCCAGAUUUCUUUUGAGACUUGUGAAUAACUAAAAUAGUAAUUUUAGAUACAUUUGUUGUUUUCUUCACUUUUGAUGCCUCUGUCAUUCUAAUACUUGUGAACUCUUAACACAACCAUGAAGUGCAUUUCCCUGUGAUUAAGGAUAUAUGUAAACAAAACACAAGGCAAAAUUAAGCAUAGUAAUAAGUGUAAGUGGAGUUCUGUGGCAGAGCAGAAAGGAAUGGUUAAUUACUGGAGUUGAGAAUAAAUAGGUUUAAAGAAAAGAUAGCAUUUGAAAUGAGCCCUGAGAGUGAGUAGAACUUUAAUAGCUAAGAAUGUAAAAUACAGACUUAAGAGAACAAUAUGAAUAAGAACAUAGGAGCCUAGAAGAAAAUACAUAAGUUAUUUGAAGAAUAGUUUAUAAUUUGAUGUGGCUAGAUUCAGAGAAACAAUACAAAAUGAGGUUGCGGGGG